Molecule: long non-coding RNA, 995 nt
Organism: Lynx canadensis (Canada lynx)
Lineage: Eukaryota; Metazoa; Chordata; Mammalia; Carnivora; Felidae
Exons: 3
Source: RefSeq, a predicted model, not a curated record
CCUCCGAGUGACGUCACAAUGCAGGGGACCCGCCCACCCAGGCGGCAGGCCGAGAGGCGCUGGGUCCUAGAGCGCACCUGUCUGUCAGGGAGGGGUCGGAGCUAGACCGAGAACGAAGUCGUGGGUUGGGGGUCGCGGCGGCGAUGCUGCUCCGCCGGCCCGGCCCGCCCCUCCCCGGUUAGGAAACACCUGCGUGGCGAGACCGCGCCUCGAGAGCCAGGGACGCACCAGACGCGUCCCCCGACCUGUGCCUGGGCGAGGGGCCGUGUGGACGCGGUGCGCCGCCACGGAGAGCAGAGGACAGGGUGCCGUCCACGGCCGAGGUACCCCAGGCCCAGGGCGGCAGCCGGGACUUCUGGUCGGGGCGCAGUCUCUCAGACACAUCGUGACCGAAGGACCGAAGGACGUGCUGGACAUGCCGCUCCCUGACUUGCCAAGUGCUUCCCAGCCUCGGCCCAUUCACAGAGCUCUUCCCCGACCGAGGCCCGAGAGCGUUCCACUCCGUCCUGGAGGCUGGGGUGGAGUGACAGGCUCCCCUCCUACUCUCACUGCAUCACGUGGAGUCACGUCCACUGGUCCUGUUCAUGCUGGCAAAGGCGGGCAGAUUGCUCACCGGCCCCCAGCCGCCCACGCCCCUGGAUCCAUCAGGGCGCGUCUCAGAGCCUGCUAAGUGGAUACAAUCCUGCGUUCUUGGCCCAGGACUUCACCCCGAAAGUGAGCUGAUGACUGAGAGUGGGCUUGUAAUCGUUUUAAACACCAACUGUCUGGAAUCCGAGUGGCACUCUCUGGUCUGGAACCGUCGGUCAGUCAGGAGAAGGAAGGACAGCUCAUCUGAGAUGGUGAAUGUGUUACAUGACUUCCCGCAAACAAAAGAAGCCAAAUUGUGCUAGGCCAGAAAACGGCCCCCAAGUAUAUCAUCCUAAUCCCCAGAAACCUGUGAAUGUUACCUUAUUAAAAAAGAAGAAGAAGAAGGAGAAGGAGAAGGACAAGAAAUG